Molecule: ribosomal RNA, 441 nt
Filed under: uncultured Lactobacillus sp.
Lineage: Bacteria; Bacillati; Bacillota; Bacilli; Lactobacillales; Lactobacillaceae
Description: bacterial SSU rRNA
Rfam family: Bacterial small subunit ribosomal RNA
Source: RNAcentral
CAGCAGUAGGGAAUCUUCCACAAUGGGCGCAAGCCUGAUGGAGCAACACCGCGUGAGUGAAGAAGGGUUUCGGCUCGUAAAACUCUGUUGUUGAAGAAGAACGUGCAUGAGAGUAACUGUUCAUGCAGUGACGGUAUUCAACCAGAAAGUCACGGCUAACUACGUGCCAGCAGCCGCGGUAAUACGUAGGUGGCAAGCGUUAUCCGGAUUUAUUGGGCGUAAAGCGAGCGCAGGCGGUUGCUUAGGUCUGAUGUGAAAGCCUUCGGCUUAACCGAAGAAGUGCAUCGGAAACCGGGCGACUUGAGUGCAGAAGAGGACAGUGGAACUCCAUGUGUAGCGGUGGAAUGCGUAGAUAUAUGGAAGAACACCAGUGGCGAAGGCGGCUGUCUGGUCUGCAACUGACGCUGAGGCUCGAAAGCAUGGGUAGCGAACAGGAUUAGA